Molecule: small RNA, 40 nt
Filed under: Sinorhizobium meliloti 2011
Lineage: Bacteria; Pseudomonadati; Pseudomonadota; Alphaproteobacteria; Hyphomicrobiales; Rhizobiaceae
Description: putative ncRNA
Source: RNAcentral
AUUCGGCCCCGGAGCGCAGACCGCUCCGGGGGUGCUCGGA